Molecule: ribosomal RNA, 1476 nt
Filed under: Thismia javanica
Lineage: Eukaryota; Viridiplantae; Streptophyta; Magnoliopsida; Dioscoreales; Thismiaceae
Description: 16S ribosomal RNA
Rfam family: Bacterial small subunit ribosomal RNA
Source: RNAcentral
UCUUAUUGAGAGUUUGAUCCUAGCUCAGGAUGAACGCUGGUGGCAUGCUUAACACAUGCGAGUUAAUCAAAAAGUCAUAAAAUAUAUAUAUAUAUUUUAUUUCAGUGGCGUACUGGUGAGUAAUACAUUAGAACUAUCCUUUUAUUUAUAUUAUUAGAUAGUCUUAUGACUUAUUAGCUAGUUGGUAUAGUAAUUGUUUACCAAGGCAAAAAAAAGUAGUUGGUCUUAUAAGGAUGAUCAACCACAUGGAAUUAAAGUAUAUCCAAUCUCUUUUUAUAGCAGCAGUGAGGAAUUUUUCGCAAUGGGCAAAAGCUUGACGGACACAAUGACACGUGUAGGUAGAGACCUUUGGGUCAUGAACUUCUUUUUUUGGAAAAGAAAAAAAAAUGACAGUAUUCAAAGAAUAAACAUCGGCUAACUCUGUGCCAGCAGCCGCGGUAAUACAGAGGAUGUAAGCGUUAUCCAGAAUCAAUGGGCGUAAAGUGUUUGUAGGUUACUUUUUAAGUCUAUCGUAAAAUACUGGAGCUUUACUUCAGUCCAUAUAAAUAUGCGAAGGAAACUAAAAAGUUAGAGAGUAAUGUUUAGGCAGAGGGAAUUUUUGGGGUAGUGGUGAAAUGCAUAUAUAUCAUAAGGAACAUUAAUAGUGAAAACACUCCGCUGUAAUGACACUGACACUGAGAGACGAAAGCUUUGGUAUCAAAUAGGAUUAGAAACCCUAGUAGUCUAAGCCGUAAACGAUGGAUACUAAGCUAAACAAACAGAACAUAACUAUAUUUUUAUUGUUAAAAACAUUAUUUGUAUGGAAUUAUUACCUUGUGUAGCUGUAGCUAACGCAUUAAGUAUCCUGCCUGGGUAGUACGUUUGCAAAAAUAAAACUUAAAGGAAUUGACGGGGGCUCAUACAAGCAAUGGAGCAUGUGGUUUAAUUCGAUGUAAACCGAGGAAUCUUACCAAGCUUGACAUACCAUAUAAAGGUUUUUUUACUGGGUACAGGCGGCGCAUGGCUGAUAUAAGUUCGUGCUAUAGAGUAAAAAUUAUGAUUAAAUUCAUAAACGAGUGAAGUUUAUAUAUUUAGCUUUUAUUUUAAUAAUUAAAAUAAAAAUUUAAUAAUUACUAUAAAUAAAAUAUAUUUAUAAAAAAUUUAAUAAUUUUUUUGGGUGGAUAACGUCAAGUCAUCAUGCCCCAAAAGUUUUGGGCGACACACAUGCUACAUUAGAUGGUACAAAUAAAUUGUAAAAAAAAUUAUCUUUUUCGGAUUGUAGACUGAAAUUCGUCUUCAUGAAGUUGGAAUUGCUAGUAAUCGCCAUUUAGUCAUAUGGUGGUGAAUUUUUUAGUUCUUGAGCCUUGUACAUACCGCCCGUCACACUAAAAAAAUUUGUUAUAUCAAAAAUUUAAAUAAUUUAAAUAAAAGCUAAUAAUUAUAGUGAAGUCGUAACAAGGUAGACAUACUGGAAGGUGUGGCUGGAUCAUCUUCUUU